CUGGCGAGAAGCGCUUCAUACUUGGCUUGAUUAUUGAAAGUUUUGAAGUUGAAUCAGAGGGCGUACUCGAUAACCACUCCCUCCGAGUUGGUGAGCAGGAACCCGACCCCGCUCCCUUGGAUAUUGGAAGCUCCAUCUAUAUGUAACACCCAGGUUGACCCGGGGUCAAAUUCAGAAGUCGCAGCUUCUUUGGAGCUCCCACCUUCCGACGUUUGGUCGGCUGUCGG
Molecule: long non-coding RNA, 227 nt
Filed under: Elaeis guineensis (African oil palm)
Lineage: Eukaryota; Viridiplantae; Streptophyta; Magnoliopsida; Arecales; Arecaceae
Description: long non-coding RNA (EGUI_LNC007854)
Source: RNAcentral